CGAAUGGUGCGAGAGUUUGUGAGGCGCCUCCGUGUGCCAAAAAUAGGGUGCGGGCACAGCCGCGUCCAAAAAUAACCGCCCGAAGGCCGGGGCGCCACGUUCGUCCAGCGGAAAAAGGCCACAAAAACGGGUGGGCUAUAGCCUUGGGGGGUGGGGCUGGCCAACUUUGUCCGCCGGACUCAGAAUGCCGCGAGACUUUGCGAGGGGCCUCCGUGUGCCAAAAAUAGGCCGCGGACAAAGCCGCACCCAAAAAUAACUGCCCGAAGGCCGGGGAGCCAAGUUCGUCCAGCGGAAAAAGGCCUCAAAAACGGGUGGGCUAUAGCCUUGAGGGGUGGGGCUGGCCAACUUCGUCUGCCGGAAUUGGAAUGCCGCGAGAUUUUAUGAGGGGCCUCUGUGUGCGAAAAAUAGGCCACGGGCAAAGCCGCACCCGAAAAUAACCGCCCGAAGGCCGGGGCGCCAAGUUCGUCCAGCAGAAAAAGGCCACAAAAACGGGUGGGCUAUAGCCUUGGGGGGUGGGGCUGGCCAACUUCGUCUGCCGGACUCAGAAUGCCGUGAGACUCUGCGAGGGGUCUCCGUGUACCAGAAAUAGGUUGCGGGCAAAGCCGCGUCCAAAAAUAACCGCCCGAAGGCCGUGGCGCCAAGUUCGUCCAGCGGAAAAAGCCCACAAAAACGGGUGGGCUAUAGCCUUGGGGGGUGGGGCUGGCCAACUUCGUCCGCCGGACUUGGAAUACCGCGAGACUUUACGAAGGGCCUCUGUGUGCCAAAAAUAGGCCACAGGCAAAGCCGUGUCCGAAAAUAACCGCCCGAAGACCGGGGCACCAAGUUCGUCCAGCGGAAAAAGCCCACAGAAACGGGUGGGCUAUAGCCUUGGGGGGUGGGGCUGGCCAACUUCGUCCGCCGGACUCGGAAUGCCGCGAGACUUUCCAAGCGGCCUCCGUGUGCCGAAAAUAGGCCACGGGCACAGCCGCGCGCAAAAAUAACCACCCGAAGGCCGGGGUUCGUCCAGCGGAAAAAGGCCACAAAAACGGGUGGGCUAUAGCCUUGGGGGGUGGGGCCAGCCCACUUCGUCCGCCGGACUCAGAAUGGCGCGAGACUUUUCGAGCGGGCUCCGUAUGCCGAAAAUAGGCAGCGGGCACAGCCACGCCCAAUAAUAACCGCCCGAAGGCCGGGGCGCCAAGUUCGUCCAGCGGAAAAAGGCCACAAAAACGGGUGGUCUAUAGCCUUGGCGGGUGCGGCUGGCCAACUUCGUCCGCCGGACUCGGAAUGGCGCGAGACUUUGCGAGCGGCCUCCAUGUGCCGAAAAUAGGCCACGGCCACAGCCGCGCACAAAAAUAACCGCCCGAAGGCCGGGGCGCGAAGUUCGUCCAGCGGAAAAAGGCCACAAAAACGGGUGGGCUAUAGCCUUGGGGGGUGGGGCCGGCCAACAUCGUCCGCCGGACUCAGAAUGGCGCGAGACUUUGCGAGCGGGCUCCGUAUGCUGAAAAUAGGCAGCAGGCACAGCCACGCCCAAUAAUAACUGCCCGAAGGCCGGGGCGCCAAGUUCGUCCAGCGGAAAAAGCCCACAAAAACGGGUGGGCUAUAGCCUUGGGGGGUGGGGCUGGCCAACUUCGUCCGCCGGACUUGGAAUACCGCGAGACUUUACGAGGGGCCUCUGUGUGCCAAAAAUAGGCCACAGGCAAAGCCGUGUCCGAAAUAAUCGCCCGAAGACCGGGGCGCCAAGUUCGUCCAGCGGAUAAAGCCCACAGAAACGGGUGGGCUAUAGCCUUGGGGGGUGGGGCCGCCAAUCUUCGUCCGCCGGACUCNNNNNNNNNNNNNNNNNNNNNNNNNNNNNNNNNNNNNNNNNNNNNNNNNNNNNNNNNNNNNNNNNNNNNNNNNNNNNNNNNNNNNNNNNNNNNNNNNNNNGAAAAUAGGCAGCGGGCACAGCCACGCCCAAUAAUAACUGCCCGAAGACCGGGGCGCCAAGUUCGUCCAGCGGAAAAAGGCCACAAAAACGGGUGGGCUAUAGCCUUGGGGGGUGGGGCUGGGCAACUUCGUCCGCUGGACUCGGAAUGCCGCGAGACUUUGCGAGGGGCCUCCGUGUACCAAAAAUAGGCCGCGGACAAUACCGUGCCCAAAAAUAACCGCCCGAAGGCCGGGGCGCCAAGUUCGUCCAGCGGAAAAAGGCCACAAAAACGGGUGGGCUAUAGCCUUGGGGGGUGGGGCUGGCCAACUUCGUCCGCCGUACUCGGAAUGGCACGAGACUUUGCGAGCGGCCUCCAUGUGCCAAAAAUAGGCAGCGGGCACAGCCGCGCCCAAAAAUAACUGCCCGAAGGCCGGGGCGCCAAGUUCAUCCAGCGGAAAAAGGCCACACAAAACGGGUGGGCUAUAGCCUUGGGGGGUGGGGCUGGCCGACUUCGUCCGCCGGACUCGGAAUGGCUCGAAACUUUGCGAGCGGCCUCCGUGUGCCAAAAAUAGGCCGCGGGCACAGCCGUACCAAAAAAUAACCACCCGAAGGCCGGGGCGCCCAGUUCGUCCAGCGGAAAAAGGCCACAAAAACGGGUGGGAUAUAGCCUUGGGGGGUGGGGCUGCCCAACUUCGUCCGCCGGACUCGGAAUGCCGCGAGACUUUUCGAGGGGCCUCCGUGUGCCAAAAAUAGGCCGCGGACAAAACCGCGCCCAAAAAUAACCGCCCAAAGGCCGGGUCGCCAAGUUCGUCCAGCGGAAAAAGGCCACAAAAACGGGUGGGCUAUAGCCUUGGGGGGUGGGGCUGGCCAACUUCGUCCGCCGUACUCGGAAUGGCACGAGACUUUGCGAGCAGCCUCCGUGUGCCAUAAAUAGGCAGAGGGCACAGCCGCGCCCAAAAAUAACCACCCGAUGGCCGGGGCGCCAAGUUCGUCCAGCGGAAAAAGGCCAGAAAAACGGGUGGGCUAUAGCCUUGGGGGGUGGGGCUGCCCAACUUCGUCCGCCGGACUCGGAAUGGCGCGAGUCUUUGCGAGCGGCCUCCGUGUGCCAAAAAUAGGCCGCGGGCACAGCCGCGCCCAAAAAUAACCACCAGAAGGCCGGGGCGCCAAGUUCGUCCAGCGGAAAAAGGUCACAAAAACGGGUGGGCUAUAGCCUUGGGGGGUGGGGCUGGAGUGGGGCUGCCCAACUUCGUCCGCAGGACUCGGAAUGGCGCGAGACUUUGCGAGGCGGCCUUCGUGUGCCAAAAAUAGGCCGCGGGCAAAGCCGCGCCCAAAAAUAACAGCCCGAAGGCCGGGGAGCCAAGUUCGUCCAGCGAAAAAGGCCACAAAAACGGGUGGGCUAUAGCCUUGGGGGGUGGGGCGGGCCGACUUCGUCCGCCGGACUCGGAAUGGCUCGAGACUUUGCGAGCGGCCUCCGUGUGCCAAAAAUAGGCCGCGGGCACAGCCGCGCCCAAAAAUAACCGCCCGAAGGCCGGGGCGCCAAGUUCGUCCAGCGGAAAAAGGCCACAAAAACGGUUGGGCUAUAGCCUUGGGGGGUGGGGCUGGCCGACUUUGUCCGCCGGACGCGGAAUGGCGCGAGACUUUGCGAGCAGCCUCCGUGUGCCAAAAAUAGGCCGUGGGCAGAGCCGUGCCUAAAAAUAACCGCCGAAGGCCGGGGCGCCAAGUUCGCCCAGCGGAAAAAGGCCAAAAAAAUGGGUGGGCUAUAGCCUUGGGGGGUGGGGCUGGCCAACUUCGACCGCCGGACUCGGAAUGGCGCGAGACUUUGCGAGCGGCCUCCAUGUGCAAAAAAUAGGCCGCGGGCACAGCCGCACCGAAAAAUAACCACCCGAAGACCGGGGCGCCAAGUUCGUCCAGCGGAAAAAGGCCACAAAAACGGGUGGGCUAUAGCCUUGGGGGGUGGGGCUGGCCGACUUCGUCCGCCGGACUCCGAAUGGCGCGAGAGUUUGCGAGGCGCCUCCGUGUGCCAAAAAUAGGCCGCGGGCACAGCCGCGCCCAAAAAUAACUGCCCGAAGGCCGGGGCGCCAAGUUCGUCCAGCGGAAAAAUAUCACAAAAAUGGGUGGGCUAUAGCCUUGGGGGGUGGGGCUGGCCAACUUCGUCCGCCGGACUCGCAAUUGCGCGAGACUUUGCGAGGCACCUCCGUGUGCAAAAAAUAGGCCGCGGGCACAGCCGCACCGAAAAAUAACCACCCGAAGACCGGGGCGCCAAGUUCGUCCAGCGGAAAAAGGCCACAAAAACGGGUGGGCUAUAGCCUUGGGGGGUGGGGCUGGCCGACUUCGUCCGCCGGACUCCGAAUGGCGCGAGAGUUUGCGAGGCGCCUCCGUGUGCCAAAAAUAGGCCGCGGGCACAGCCGCGCCCAAAAAUAACUGCCCGAAGGCCGGGGCGCCAAGUUCGUCCAGCGGAAAAAUAUCACAAAAAUGGGUGGGCUAUAGCCUUGGGGGGUGGGGCUGGCCAACUUCGUCCGCCGGACUCGCAAUUGCGCGAGACUUUGCGAGGCACCUCCGUGUGCCAAAAAUAGGCCGCGGGCACAGCCGUGCCAAAAAAUAACCGCCCGAAGGCCGGGGCGCCAAGUACGUCCAGCGGAAAUAUGCCACAAAAACGGGUGGGCUAUAGCCUUGGGUGGGGCUGGCCAACAUCGUCCGCCGAACUCGGAAUAGCGCGAGACUUUGUAAGGCGCCUCCGUGUGCCAAUAAUAGGCCGCGGGCACAGCCGCACCCAAAAAUAACAGCCCGAAGGCAGAGGCGCCAAGUUCGUCCAGCCGAAAAAGGCCACAAAAACGGGUGGGCUAUAGCCUUGAGG
RNAcentral lists this long non-coding RNA (4736 nucleotides) under Citrus x clementina. Its description in RNAcentral is "Citrus clementina (C. clementina) long non-coding RNA (CCLE_LNC001224)". The record is from RNAcentral. Lineage: Eukaryota; Viridiplantae; Streptophyta; Magnoliopsida; Sapindales; Rutaceae.